RNAcentral lists this ribosomal RNA (497 nucleotides) under uncultured bacterium. RNAcentral describes it as "partial 16S ribosomal RNA". It matches the Rfam family "Bacterial small subunit ribosomal RNA", at positions 28 to 507 of the family's 1533-position model. The record is from RNAcentral.
GACGAACGCUGGCGGCGUGCCUAAUACAUGCAAGUUGAGCGCUGAAGGUUGGUACUUGUACCAACUGGAUGAGCAGCGAACGGGUGAGUAACGCGUGGGGAAUCUGCCUUUGAGCGGGGGACAACAUUUGGAAACGAAUGCUAAUACCGCAUAAAAACUUUAAACACAAGUUUUAAGUUUGAAAGAUGCAAUUGCAUCACUCAAAGAUGAUCCCGCGUUGUAUUAGCUAGUUGGUGAGGUAAAGGCUCACCAAGGCGAUGAUACAUAGCCGACCUGAGAGGGUGAUCGGCCACAGUGGGACUGAGACACGGCCCAAACUCCUACGGGAGGCAGCAGUAGGGAAUCUUCGGCAAUGGACGAAAGUCUGACCGAGGAACGCCGCGUGAGUGAAGAAGGUUUUCGGAUCGUAAAACUCUGUUGGUAGAGAAGAACGUUGGUGAGAGUGGAAAGCUCAUCAAGUGACGGUAACUACCCAGAAAGGGACGGCUAACUACGUG